RNAcentral lists this transfer RNA (75 nucleotides) under Agromyces bauzanensis. Its description in RNAcentral is "tRNA-Val". It matches the Rfam family "tRNA". From Rfam's summary of the family: Transfer RNA (tRNA) molecules are approximately 80 nucleotides in length. Their secondary structure includes four short double-helical elements and three loops (D, anti-codon, and T loops). Lineage: Bacteria; Bacillati; Actinomycetota; Actinomycetes; Micrococcales; Microbacteriaceae. The record is from RNAcentral.
GGGCCUUUAGCUCAGUUGGUAGAGCGCCACGUUUACACCGUGGAAGUCGUCGGUUCGAGCCCGGCAGGGCCCACC